RNAcentral lists this long non-coding RNA (479 nucleotides) under Pan troglodytes (chimpanzee). RNAcentral describes it as "lincRNA". Lineage: Eukaryota; Metazoa; Chordata; Mammalia; Primates; Hominidae. The record is from RNAcentral.
UGAGCUCCUGGCUGGAGAAUUCGCUCACAAGGGUGACAUGAUCAUCUUACGUGUAAAAGAAAACCGAAUUUCACUUCUGGUGGAGACUAUUGUCUGAUUCAUCAUUACAGUAACCACCCAAGGAAACCCUGCCCACAAAAAGCAUUCUUCUGGAGAAGUAACAGUUUUUGGUGACACACAUGAUGGCAACAAUGAACACUUUGUGGCACGAUGACCUCUAUGAAAAAGAGAGAUAUACAGGUUUUGCUUUUGUUCACUCAACUAAUUACCAACCUUUCAUUAUACCUCUACUCGGACAUCUAAACUUCAGUUAAGCUCUAUGUUUAAGUGGGAUGGAUCUUCAAUUUGCCUACCUAAGGAUUUGAAGUCAGGUUUACAGAGGCAUCAUUUUACAAUUAUCAACUUUGAUAAAUGCAGAUUGUCAUGGAACUACCACCAGAAUCCAGAUAGAGAACAUGCUAUCAUCCCUGUUAUAUCCC